RNAcentral lists this ribosomal RNA (253 nucleotides) under uncultured bacterium. RNAcentral describes it as "partial 16S ribosomal RNA". It matches the Rfam family "Bacterial small subunit ribosomal RNA", at positions 524 to 776 of the family's 1533-position model. The record is from RNAcentral.
UACGGGGGGGGCAAGCGUUGUUCGGAAUUACUGGGCGUAAAGGGUGCGUAGGCGGUGCUCUAAGUCGGAUGUGAAAACUCUGGGCUCAACCCAGAGCCUGCAUCCGAAACUGGAGUGCUAGAGUUCUGGAGGGGGUAGCGGAAUUCCUGGUGUAGCGGUGAAAUGCGCAGAUAUCAGGAGGAACACCAAUGGCGAAGGCAGCUCGCUGGGACGGUACUGACGCUGAGGCGCGAAAGCGUGGGGAGCAAACAGG